This 444-nucleotide long non-coding RNA is filed under the name Mytilus galloprovincialis (Mediterranean mussel). Lineage: Eukaryota; Metazoa; Mollusca; Bivalvia; Mytilida; Mytilidae. The record is from RNAcentral.
CUGGGAUCCGUAUAAAAAACAACACAUCACUCAGGUUGAGCAGGUACAGCGUAAGGCAGCCAGGUUUGUCUUCAAUGAUUAUAAAGACAGUCAGAUCACCUGGAGCAGUUUCAAAUUUAAUUAAAUCAUUGGAAUGGGAAAAUUUAGAAAUAAGAAGGAAAAAAGCUAGAUUAACUAUGCUGUAUAAAAUAAAUUGGGGGUUAGUUGAAGUUCCUAAGGACAAUUUAACAAUAUCUGAUAGACAUACUAGGGGGAAACAUAAAUUUAGGCAAAUAUCAACAAAUAAAGAUUUCUAUAAAUUUUCAUUUUAUCCUCGCACUAUUUCGGACUGGAACUCACUACCUGAAGCAGUAGGUAUGUCUGACACCCUGGAAUCCUUCAAAAGUGGCAUAUCCACUCUAACAUUUGAAGGAUCCACAACAACUUAUUAAACUACAAAGCCAC